CGACAGGUUAUCCGAGUGAGUUCUACUAAAGGAACCUUUUGUCGGUCCUAGAAACACCGAUGAAUAAGGGGUGGGCAAGUUCUGGUGUCAGCCGCCGCGGUAAAACCAGCACCUCAAGUGGUCAGGAUGAUUAUUGGGCCUAAAGCAUCCGUAGCCGGCUCUGUAAGUUUUCGGUUAAAUCUGUACGCUCAACGUACAGGCUGCCGGGAAUACUGCAGAGCUAGGGAGUGGGAGAGGUAGACGGUACUCGGUAGGAAGGGGUAAAAUCCUUUGAUCUAUUGAUGACCACCUGUGGCGAAGGCGGUCUACCAGAACACGUCCGACGGUGAGGGAUGAAAGCUGGGGGAGCAAACCGGAUUAGAUACCCGGGUAGUCCCAGCUGUAAACUAUGCAAACUCAGUGAUGCAUUGGCUUGUGGCCAAUGCAGUGCUGCAGGGAAGCCGUUAAGUUUGCCGCCUGGGAAGUACGUACGCAAGUAUGAAACUUAAAGGAAUUGGCGGGGA
RNAcentral lists this ribosomal RNA (503 nucleotides) under uncultured crenarchaeote. RNAcentral describes it as "bacterial SSU rRNA". It matches the Rfam family "Archaeal small subunit ribosomal RNA", at positions 368 to 874 of the family's 1478-position model. The record is from RNAcentral. Lineage: Archaea; Thermoproteati; Thermoproteota.